Molecule: ribosomal RNA, 1409 nt
Filed under: Alcaligenes sp. RH-27
Lineage: Bacteria; Pseudomonadati; Pseudomonadota; Betaproteobacteria; Burkholderiales; Alcaligenaceae
Description: bacterial SSU rRNA
Rfam family: Bacterial small subunit ribosomal RNA (bases 4-811)
Source: RNAcentral
AUCGAGUUUGAUCCUGGCUCAGAUUGAACGCUAGCGGGAUGCUUUACACAUGCAAGUCGAACGGCAGCGCGAGAGAGCUUGCUCUCUUGGCGGCGAGUGGCGGACGGGUGAGUAAUAUAUCGGAACGUGCCCAGUAGCGGGGGAUAACUACUCGAAAGAGUGGCUAAUACCGCAUACGCCCUACGGGGGAAAGGGGGGGAUCGCAAGACCUCUCACUAUUGGAGCGGCCGAUAUCGGAUUAGCUAGUUGGUGGGGUAAAGGCUCACCAAGGCAACGAUCCGUAGCUGGUUUGAGAGGACGACCAGCCACACUGGGACUGAGACACGGCCCAGACUCCUACGGGAGGCAGCAGUGGGGAAUUUUGGACAAUGGGGGAAACCCUGAUCCAGCCAUCCCGCGUGUAUGAUGAAGGCCUUCGGGUUGUAAAGUACUUUUGGCAGAGAAGAAAAGGUAUCCCCUAAUACGGGAUACUGCUGACGGUAUCUGCAGAAUAAGCACCGGCUAACUACGUGCCAGCAGCCGCGGUUAUACGUAGGGUGCAAGCGUUGAUCAGGGAUUACUGGGCGUAAAGCGUGUGUAGGCGGUUCGGAAGUAGAUUAAGAUGUGCAGAUCCCAGGGCUCAGACCUUGGAGACUGCAUUUGUGCCUAUUACUUGAACGUCGAGCUAGAGUAUGUGAGCGGGGGGUAGCCUUCUACGUGUAGUUCGUGUGAUAUGCGUAGGUCUUACUGUGGCGGCAUACCGAUUGCGAAGGUGGUCCCGAACUUCUUCCGGAUAAUACUCGACGCUCAGUCCCGAUAGACUUCUCCCACCUUCAUGGGAGAAAAUUGUAAGAAGGGUUGGGCUCGCUGUUGCACUUAAGACAGCAUUGCAGACACUAGUUGAUGAGGUAACAUGCACCACAACGUCAAUCUGUCAUGGGAAGCGGAAGGGGGUAUUCGGAGACUUGUCAGAUGAGACACGGCCCAGACUCCUUCGGGUGUCUGCAUUAGAGAAUCUCACGCGCUGCACCGAUGGCGCGGGCCGCACCCAAUUCAAUCGGGUUUCAGUUUAGCGACCUUACUCCCCAGUUGUUAUGGUUGAACAAGUACAAGAGCAGUAAAGGGGGGAAGACGUCGCCCAAUCAGCAGUUAUCGUCGACGGGGUGGACCAGCAGCGGAUUUAAUCCGUAGGGGGCUAGCGUUAUCUUGAAUAUUGGGCGUUAACAGACCCCGAACGGCCCUCGCCUCUGGUGUUCCUCCACAUCUCCAUGCACUUGAACGGUCCACGGAAAAUUGGGAUCUUGCGUUCAGCACACAAAUUCCCCAGUCCACAAGGACCCUCCACGGGGGUGGAGUGGGGGUUUACCCCCACCUCAAAAAGGGCCAUCUGCGUGCUUAUUACCAAGAAUUAAUAAGAUCAUCCGCGGUUU